CCUACGGGAGGCAGCAGUGGGGAAUAUUGCGCAAUGGGCGAAAGCCUGACGCAGCGACGCCGCGUGAGGGAUGAAGGUCUUCGGAUCGUAAACCUCUGUCAGCAGGGAAGAACGGUCACUGUGCUAAUCCGCCGUGAAUUGACGGUACCUGCAAAGGAAGCACCGGCUAACUCCGUGCCAGCAGCCGCGGUAAUACGGAAGGUGCGAGCCUUAAUCGGAAUUACUGGGCGUAAAGCGCUCGUAGGCGGUAUGUCCAGUCAAGGGUGAAAUCCCCGCGCUCAACGUGGGAACUGCCGUUGAAACGGGCAAACUGGAGUGUGUGAGAGGAGAGUGGAAUUCCAGGUGUAGGAGUGAAAUCCGUAGAUAUCUGGAGGAACAUCAGUGGCGAAGGCGACUAUCUGGCACAUAACUGACGCUGAGGAGCGAAAGCGUGGGUAGCAAACAGGAUUAGAUACCCUAGUAGUC
This 465-nucleotide ribosomal RNA is filed under the name uncultured bacterium. RNAcentral describes it as "partial 16S ribosomal RNA". It matches the Rfam family "Bacterial small subunit ribosomal RNA", at positions 338 to 795 of the family's 1533-position model. The record is from RNAcentral.